RNAcentral lists this unclassified non-coding RNA (348 nucleotides) under soil metagenome. Its description in RNAcentral is "partial contains 5.8S ribosomal RNA, internal transcribed spacer 2, and large subunit ribosomal RNA". The stretch from base 1 to 120 matches the Rfam family "5.8S ribosomal RNA", at positions 35 to 154 of the family's 154-position model. The record is from RNAcentral.
GAUGAAGAACGCAGCGAAAUGCGAUAAGUAAUGUGAAUUGCAGAAUUCAGUGAAUCAUCGAGUCUUUGAACGCACAUUGCGCCCCCUGGUAUUCCGGGGGACAUGCCUGUCCGAGCGUCAUUGCUGCCCUCAAGCACGGCUUGUGUGUUGGGCCCCCGCCCCCCGGUCCCGGGGGGCGGGCCCGAAAGGCAGCGGCGGCACCGCGUCCGGUCCUCGAGCGUAUGGGGCUUUGUCACCCGCUCUGUAGGCCCGGCCGGCGCCCGCCGGCGACCCCAAUCAAUCUUUUUCAGGUUGACCUCGGAUCAGGUAGGGAUACCCGCUGAACUUAAGCAUAUAAUAAGCGGAGGA